ACGCUGCCGCACCGCCCGAGGAUGGGGCUACGGCCCAUUAGGUAGUUGGCGGGGUAACGGCCCGCCAAGCCGAUAAUGGGUAGGGGCCGUGAGAGCGGGAGCCCCCAGAUGGGCACUGAGACAAGGGCCCAGGCCCUACGGGGCGCACCAGGCGCGAAACCUCCGCAAUGCGGGAAACCGUGACGGGGCCACCCCGAGUGCCCCCUUACGGGGGCUUUUCCCCGCUGUAGGAAGGCGGGGGAAUAAGCGGGGGGCAAGUCUGGUGUCAGCCGCCGCGGUAAUACCAGCCCCGCGAGUGGUCGGGACGAUUAUUGGGCCUAAAGCGCCCGUAGCCGGCUCGACAAGUCUCCUCCUAAAUCCUCGGGCUCAACCCGAGGAUUGGAGGAGAUACUGUCGAGCUAGGGGGUGGGAGAGGCCGAGGGUACUCCCGGGGUAGGGGCGAAAUCCUAUAAUCCCGGGAGGACCACCAGUGGCGAAGGCGCUCGGCUGGAACACGCCCGACGGUGAGGGGCGAAAGCCGGGGGAGCGAACCGGAUUAGAUACCCGGGUAGUCCCGGCUG
RNAcentral lists this ribosomal RNA (560 nucleotides) under uncultured bacterium. Its description in RNAcentral is "bacterial SSU rRNA". It matches the Rfam family "Archaeal small subunit ribosomal RNA", at positions 187 to 753 of the family's 1478-position model. The record is from RNAcentral.